This 107-nucleotide small nuclear RNA is filed under the name Diabrotica virgifera virgifera (western corn rootworm). Lineage: Eukaryota; Metazoa; Arthropoda; Insecta; Coleoptera; Chrysomelidae. The record is from RNAcentral.
GUACUCGCUUCGGCGGUACAUAUACUAAAAUUGGAACGGUACAGAGAAGAUUAGCAUGGCCCCUGCUCAAGGAUGACACGCAAAAUCGUGAAGCGUUCCACAUUUUU